RNAcentral lists this ribosomal RNA (518 nucleotides) under Thysanarthria sp. SLE0127. Its description in RNAcentral is "partial 16S ribosomal RNA". It matches the Rfam family "Bacterial large subunit ribosomal RNA", at positions 1819 to 2605 of the family's 2925-position model. Lineage: Eukaryota; Metazoa; Arthropoda; Insecta; Coleoptera; Hydrophilidae. The record is from RNAcentral.
GUCUUUUUGAUUAUAAUUUAAGGUCGGGCCUGCCCAAUGAUAAGUUCAAUGGCUGCAGUAUUUUGACUGUACAAAGGUAGCAUAAUCAUUAGUCUUUUAAUUAAGGACUAGAAUGAAUGGUCUGAUGAGAAAAUAGCUGUCUUAAGUUAAUUUUAUAUGAAAUUUAUUUUUAAGUUAAAAAGCUUAAAUGUUGUUAAAAGACGAGAAGACCCUAUAGAGUUUUAUAUUGAUUUAUUUGUAUAGAUUUAAGUAUUUAAUUCUUUCUAUUUAAUAAGAUAUUUGAUUGGGGUGAUUAGAAAAUUUGAUUAACUUUUUUUAUUGUAUUAACAUUAAUUUAUGAUUUAAUGAUCCAUUUUUUAUGAUUAUAAGAUUAAAUUACCUUAGGGAUAACAGCGUAAUUUUUUUGGAGAGUUCUUAUCGAUAAAAAAGUUUGCGACCUCGAUGUUGGAUUAAAAUUUAUUUUUGACGCAAAAGUUAAGUAUAUUAGGUCUGUUCGACCUUUAAAAUUUUACGUGAUC